GGGCCAAUUUUCCAGACGCGAGGGGGGUUCGCGUUUUUUACCCGAGACGCGGCGGCGCAAGCGCUCCGUCCUGCCGAGGACUCCGCGGCCGCCGACUAGUCUUACGGCAACCCCAACGAGUCCUCGGCGGCGCAGCGAGCUCUCGCGGAGGCGAAGUUGCGAAGCUCGAUCCCGGCUGGCGCUCCGUCCUGCCGACCACUCCGCGGCGGCCGACGAAUUCUCGGGCGACGCCGACGAGUCGCAAGUCCUGGAGACUCCGACGAGUCCAACUGCCGCCGCCGCUGCCGGUCCUGCCACCAUCUCCCCUGACUCGCCGAGGUCCAUUAGUUGAGGCUGCUACAAUUUUGGCUUAUCGUGGUGCAGAUCGGCAUGAAGGGACAACGCUUUACUUUUUUCCGAAUGAUAUUAAUCUGAAACAGAUGCUAUAUGUAAACUUUGUUCCAUCACUUGUUGUGUAAGCCUAAGUUAAAUUGUUGCUUCAGUUGAUGUAUUGUUGUGUAAGAUUUUGUGGUGAACUGAUGCGUAAUCGAACUAUUUCAUUAAAGAAAGCUUCAGUUUCCUGUAA
Long non-coding RNA from Brachypodium distachyon (stiff brome), 565 nucleotides. RefSeq lists it as uncharacterized. NCBI's taxonomy places the organism in Eukaryota, Viridiplantae, Streptophyta, Magnoliopsida, Poales, Poaceae. The record is from RefSeq and is a predicted model, not a curated record. The transcript is spliced from 2 exons.